RNAcentral lists this non-coding RNA (71 nucleotides) under uncultured Arachnia sp. Its description in RNAcentral is "Glycine riboswitch". It matches the Rfam family "Glycine riboswitch aptamer", at positions 10 to 85 of the family's 94-position model. From Rfam's summary of the family: This family represents the bacterial glycine riboswitch. Glycine riboswitches usually consist of two metabolite-binding aptamers domains with similar structures in tandem. Lineage: Bacteria; Bacillati; Actinomycetota; Actinomycetes; Propionibacteriales; Propionibacteriaceae. The record is from RNAcentral.
GUGGGAGAACUGAUUCGUCAGUGCCGAAGGAGCAACCGCCCCGGAAACUCUCAGGCCCCCGGACCGCGACG